UACAGAGGGGCAAGCGUUAUUCGGAAUUAUUGGGCGUAAAGGGCGCGUAGGCGGCCUGGCAAGUGGAAGGUGAAAUCCCUCGGCUUAACCGAGGAACUGCCCUCCAAACUGCUUGGCUUGAGUCCGGGAGAGGUGAGUGGAAUUCCCAGUGUAGCGGUGAAAUGCGUAGAUAUUGGGAGGAACACCAGUGGCGAAGGCGGCUCACUGGACCGGAACUGACGCUGAGGCGCGAAAGCGUGGGGAGCAAACGGGG
Molecule: ribosomal RNA, 253 nt
Filed under: uncultured bacterium
Lineage: Bacteria
Description: partial 16S ribosomal RNA
Rfam family: Bacterial small subunit ribosomal RNA
Source: RNAcentral